GUUGUGAGUGAACGGAUGAAGCUUCUAAUUCAGGCAACAACACUGAUAGCUAUGGUUCUGGCCGGGAUUAUGUUGGUCCAUAAGAUGGUUCAUCGGAAUGGCAAACCUCUCAUCCGGUAUGGUCCGAUGGUAAUCCGAGAUCAGGGGAGGAUAGCGAAUCUGAACUGCAUCUACAACUGCAACGACACAGAUGCUCUAUGGAUGCUUCAAAUGAAAAGAGCACCUUUCACCAGGCUUGUGAAGACGUUCAGGAGCAGGGGGCUGCUAGAAGGUAGCACCCACACCACCGUGGAAAAGAAAGUAGCCAUGUUCCUCCAUGUUAUUGGUCAUAACCAGAGGUUCAGGGUUGCACACAACACCUUCAGGAGAUCAAUGGAGACCAUCUCCAGGCACUUCAAGCAAGUGCUCUAUACUGUUGGGGAGCUCAGAGCAGAGAUGAUUAGGUCGCCAACCGGCAGGACUCCUACCAAGAUUCGCACUAGCCCAAGAUGGUAUCCAUACUUCAAGGUGAGCACUGACAAUAUGUAG
This 528-nucleotide ribosomal RNA is filed under the name Triticum aestivum (bread wheat). RNAcentral's name for it is "partial small subunit ribosomal RNA". Lineage: Eukaryota; Viridiplantae; Streptophyta; Magnoliopsida; Poales; Poaceae. The record is from RNAcentral.